Molecule: ribosomal RNA, 392 nt
Filed under: uncultured bacterium
Lineage: Bacteria
Description: bacterial SSU rRNA
Rfam family: Bacterial small subunit ribosomal RNA
Source: RNAcentral
AUUGAACGCUGGCGGCAUGCCUUACACAUGCAAGUCGAACGGCAGCACGGGAGCAAUCCUGGUGGCGAGUGGCGAACGGGUGAGUAACAUAUCGGAACGUGCCCAGUAGUGGGGGAUAACCCGGCGAAAGCCGGACUAAUACCGCAUACGACCUACGGGUGAAAGCAGGGGAUCGCAAGACCUUGCGCUAUCGGAGCGGCCGAUAUCAGAUUAGCUUGUUGGUGGGGUAAAAGCCUACCAAGGCGACGAUCUGUAGCUGGUCUGAGAGGACGACCAGCCACACUGGGACUGAGACACGGCCCAGACUCCUACGGGAGGCAGCAGUGGGGAAUUUUGGACAAUGGGCGCAAGCCUGAUCCAGCCAUGCCGCGUGCGGGAAGAAGGCCUCGGUU